Molecule: long non-coding RNA, 1064 nt
Filed under: Castor canadensis (American beaver)
Lineage: Eukaryota; Metazoa; Chordata; Mammalia; Rodentia; Castoridae
Description: lncRNA (ENSCCNG00000015216.1)
Source: RNAcentral
GUAACUGAGUACUCAUUUGUAGGCACAAAAGAGAAGGAAGGAAGGAAGGGAGAGAGGGAGGGAGGAAGGGAAGUAUGAAGGAAGGAAAGAAAUGAGAAAGGAGAAAGGAAGGAAAUGAAUGAGGGGGAGAGAGACGGAAAGAAAACUGGCUAAAUUUUUAAAAAGCAAUUAACUCUUAUUACUAAAAAAUUAAGGGCUCAAACAACAUUCCUAGUACCUGAUUUCUGCAUUUCUCUGGCCUUCUUUUCUAGGUAGUUGCUUGAUUUUCAAAGAGUUCUUUCUAAUGGUGACCCCCUAACAACUAUAAAUUUAUAUCUGACCAGUUUACAAUCUAGCAUUAAAAAAAGCUGCUUUCCUCAGAAAUACCUACAAAAGUAUUGGCUUACUUUGAUGAGAGCAACUUUUUGCAUGUUUCCAUCCCUAAAACAAUCCAGGGUGAUUCAAUAUUUUAACUGUCUAAACCUAGAUCACAAACUGGUUUCAGCUCCAUCCAAAGUAUAAAGCCAGAAGGUACAAGGAGCAUGGUUCCCCAAAGGAAAUGUACAUAGUGUUACACCAAAGAGCAUGUUAGACUGUAAAAUCAGAAAAAUACUCACUACAUUGUCACUUACCUCAGUGACACUUGUUAUCAUUAUUUUUACUAUAUAUGUUUUCUGCCCAUUCACAAAAAUCCUAUUAAACCCACUAUCUUAAACAUUCACUCUAUUUAACAACUUUACUCGGAAAAUAUACUUGGAUUUCCAAUUUGGUGUAUUGCAAUAUAUCUCCUUCCCUUGCUUUAAGCUUGGCAAAAUGAGAAGGAAAUCUUUAUCAUAUCUAUGUGGAGCUAUCAUUUAACUGUUAUGAGCCUCAGUUUUCUUCCACCUUCUAGGAAGUUACCCAACCAAUUUUCUUUGUUUUUGACCAAAAUAUCUCUGCUUCCUACAGAAAAUAGCAGAUUGUUGUCUGAUAACUUUUCUCCUUUUCCAGAAGCAAGGAAGACCAGCUCAGAACUGGGAUUGGAGAACAGAGAGACACUUAUCGGUGCUACUCAAAUUGUAGAGUUACUCUGGUAUUUCCAUUAA